CUACCAUGCAGUCGAACGAUGAACCACUUCGGUGGGGAUUAGUGGCGAACGGGUGAGUAACACGUGGGCAAUCUGCCCUGCACUCUGGGACAAGCCCUGGAAACGGGGUCUAAUACCGGAUACUGACCCUCGCAGGCAUCUGCGAGGUUCGAAAGCUCCGGCGGUGCAGGAUGAGCCCGCGGCCUAUCAGCUUGUUGGUGAGGUAAUGGCUCACCAAGGCGACGACGGGUAGCCGGCCUGAGAGGGCGACCGGCCACACUGGGACUGAGACACGGCCCAGACUCCUACGGGAGGCAGCAGUGGGGAAUAUUGCACAAUGGGCGAAAGCCUGAUGCAGCGACGCCGCGUGAGGGAUGACGGCCUUCGGGUUGUAAACCUCUUUCAGCAGGGAAGAAGCGAAAGUGACGGUACCUGCAGAAGAAGCGCCGGCUAACUACGUGCCAGCAGCCGCGGUAAUACGUAGGGCGCAAGCGUUGUCCGGAAUUAUUGGGCGUAAAGAGCUCGUAGGCGGCUUGUCACGUCGGUUGUGAAAGCCCGGGGCUUAACCCCGGGUCUGCAGUCGAUACGGGCAGGCUAGAGUUCGGUAGGGGAGAUCGGAAUUCCUGGUGUAGCG
Molecule: ribosomal RNA, 613 nt
Filed under: Actinomycetales bacterium A254
Lineage: Bacteria; Bacillati; Actinomycetota; Actinomycetes; Actinomycetales
Description: bacterial SSU rRNA
Rfam family: Bacterial small subunit ribosomal RNA
Source: RNAcentral